Molecule: ribosomal RNA, 497 nt
Filed under: uncultured bacterium
Lineage: Bacteria
Description: partial 16S ribosomal RNA
Rfam family: Bacterial small subunit ribosomal RNA
Source: RNAcentral
GAUGAACGCUUGCUUCUUUCCUAAUACAUGCAAGUCGAGCGAACAGACGAGGAGCUUGCUCCUCUGACGUUAGCGGCGGACGGGUGAGUAACACGUGGAUAACCUACCUAUAAGACUGGGAUAACUUCAGGAAACCGGAGCUAAUACCGGAUAAUAUAUUGAACCGCAUGGUUCAAUAGUGAAAGACGGUUUUGCUGUCACUUAUAGAUGGAUCCGCGCCGCAUUAGCUAGUUGGUAAGGUAACGGCUUACCAAGGCAACGAUGCGUAGCCGACCUGAGAGGGGGAUAGGCCACAAUGGAACUGAGAACCGGUCCAGACUCUUACGGGAGGCAGCAGUAGGGAAUCUUCCGCAAUGGGCGAAAGCCUGACGGAGCAACGCCGCGUGAGUGAUGAAGGUCUUCGGAUCGUAAAAAUCUGUGAUGAGGGAAGAACAAAUGUGUAAGUAACUAUGCACGUCUUGACGGUACCUAAUCAGAAAGCCAAGGCUAACUACGUG